Treponema pedis str. T A4 is the source of this 125-nucleotide regulatory RNA element. It matches the Rfam family "TD-1 RNA". From Rfam's summary of the family: non coding RNA found in Treponema denticola NCBI's taxonomy places the organism in Bacteria, Pseudomonadati, Spirochaetota, Spirochaetia, Treponematales, Treponemataceae. The record is from Rfam.
UUUAACAUGCGAGUUUGCCUUUCGGCAAACGUCGUGAUUGUAUGCCGUUUCUCACUUCGUUGCGAAACGGCGGAAAAUAAGCAAUGCUCAAAAAUUGAUAUUUUUUCCGCUUGCUUAUUUUAUAA